This 469-nucleotide ribosomal RNA is filed under the name Millepora alcicornis. RNAcentral describes it as "partial large subunit ribosomal RNA". It matches the Rfam family "Bacterial large subunit ribosomal RNA", at positions 1946 to 2570 of the family's 2925-position model. The record is from RNAcentral. Lineage: Eukaryota; Metazoa; Cnidaria; Hydrozoa; Anthoathecata; Milleporidae.
CCGUGAUAACGUAGCAUAAUCAUUCGCCACCUAAUUAGUGGAUAGUAUGAAUGGUAAAACGAGUAUAACACUCUCUCAGAAGGAAGUUUUAUGAAAUUGGAGUGGUAGUCAAGAUACUACCUAAAACUGUAAGACGAAAAGACCCUAUAGAGCUUAACUAUACCUUUCUCACAAAAUUAAGUUCACUUAAGUUCCAGAAAGAUUGGUAGUUUAGUUGGGGCGACUGCUUUCUAGUAAAAACGAAAGCAAGCAAUAUUAAUUAUCUAAUUUACUGUCUAAUCUAUAUGUUUAACAGUUAUAAAAAUAGGCAAUAAUGACCCGUUAGUAAUAAAAAACACUACUAACGAACAAUAAAUAAAAGCUACCUUAGGGAUAACAGGAUAAUCUUGUUCUAGAGACCCUAUCGAAAACAAGGUUUGUCACCUCUAUGUUGAAUUAAGAUAUCCUAGAAGUGUAGAAGCUUCUGAGG